UCCACCUCCAUCCGAUUGCCAAUUGGAAGUUGUUAUAAUUACAGAGCAGACAGAAAAUAAAUCUCUCCUUUAUGUGCUAUUCCUCAGAAAGCCAGGCCUGGUGGCAGGGUGAAUACAAAUGGGCAAAGAGGACCCACUUGCAGGCAUGAAGAGGUGCUGGUUAAGAAAGUAGGCACCGGCAAAGCAAAGCCCCGGACCCAAGCUUGGCCAAGCAUCUUAUGCAGCCUACAGAACGGUGGAGAAGACAAAGGGCAGAAGCUAUAAGCUUGUCUACCUGUCCCUGGAGUGAUCCUGUUUGGAAAAGACUCAAUGAACCAGUCACACCACAGCAUAUAGACAUUCCUGCG
Molecule: long non-coding RNA, 347 nt
Organism: Phacochoerus africanus (Common warthog)
Lineage: Eukaryota; Metazoa; Chordata; Mammalia; Artiodactyla; Suidae
Exons: 3
Source: RefSeq, a predicted model, not a curated record